AUGGAACUACAGUUUCAAAUACAAGAAAUUACCGAGCGAAGUGGCGCAGCACACUAGACUCCCGUUGGGGAAGACGCGUCCGGACAUCCCGAUUUAGGUUUUCCGUGAUUUCCCGUAAUCGCUUCAGGUAAAUGCCGGCAUGGUUCCUUUGAAAGGGCACGGUGAUUCCCUUUCCCAUCCGUCCCUAGUCCGAUGGGACCCAUGAACUAAGCCGCUCGGCCCACUUCCCCGAACCAACCAACAAGUAAAUAGCAGAAAUGUGACGAUGCUGGCUCGGCCAGUUCGUGAUGGUGCUGGUUCGGCCAGUUCGUGAUGGCAGCAGGUCCUUGGCGCCUCAGUGACAGCGGCGGGCGACGGAGGGCGGUGCGGCGGCGUCCAGCUCACAUGGCUGACUAGUGUGGGCUGCCUCGCUGCAGCGCACGCCCUGUGCGUGUUUAGUGCAGCAGCCAUGGCCCGCGUGGAGCAAAAGUGGCAGCCGGUUGGUGCAUUUCAAGGGCAAAGUGUACGGCGUCUUGCCGGGAAAAAUGUAGUGUAGCGGCAAAGUCACUACGGGAACGGAUCCGCACUUCUGACACCAGUAGUACAGAAUGGGUGUAUGGGCAGGCAGUGGGCGUAAUGGAACAUUUAGGAUUAUUUUUAGAUAAAGGCCAUUUAUUGGUGAAAUCGUGUUGAAAAGGGUUACAUAGGCCUAGGGAGGUGAGGGUGAGCCAGAGCUUAGAGUUUGGCGAAACAUAGUUCGCGAAGCUACCGAAAGUUGUUGUCUGCCAAAACUAAGUCCACAGUGCCACAGCACCAGGAGAAGUGGGAGAUGUUCAAUGCUACAGGGUGCGCAUCCGACUCAAGGGUGAGCAAGAAUACAAGAGAGUGGGCCCGACGACUGGCGGCCGGGUAUAUUCGACACACCACACGGCUUCCUCCGCCCUGAUUGGUCAGGACCGAGCAAACCGUGCGGGCGGCAUGGAACUUUCCAGAGCAUUGCCUGCUACGCAACGCCUGGGGCGGCGUUAAGACAUAUUAUCAGAAAGAAACAUAAAGAAUAGCAAUACAAUAGUUUGCACAUCAUAACAGACAUAAAAAGGCUUUGACAUUACACAAAUUACAUUUAUCAAGUGUAAUAAUUAGCCUAUGAAAUUUUAACAUUUUUGUGAAAAUUUUAUUUCUCACAUAUUCAUGGCCGAAAAAUAUAUGACCAUUGUUGAUAGUGAUAUCGAAAAUGCAAUCAGCCAAGAUGGCGUAGAAGUGCGUGAUUGAACAAUUGGAGCUCAGGUGCCAUGCAUGCCUAUUCCAGAAAGUUUAAGUACCGGUACAUCAGAGAUUAGUGUCGCAGGUGUGACAAAUGACAGCCUCGCUCCACAGCAGAAUAACCUUGAAAAUACAAUGCUUACAAUUCCCGAGACAAUGUCAUGCAUCUCCCAGAGCGACAUACCACUUAUGAAUGAGCGAUUUCAAUAUGAAUUUUGACAACAAGUUACGAACACCACUUGUUCACAACACAAAUAUUCACUUAGAAGGUACAGCUGGCGGCAAUCAUAGUAGUACAACUGAAGCACUACUAUGGCAGUUACUAUCUAAAAUAAAAAUAAAUUUGACAAUAUGAACACGAAUCUCAGUGAUAUGAAACAGAAUUGAACACCAAUUUCAGUGUUGUGAAAGAAAAUAUGAAUACCAAAAUUGAUAAUUUGACACACAAUAUGAACACCGUCACACCAGAUCUAAAUGUUAUGAAACAAGAACAAAAACAAGUAUUCAAGGAUUUGCAAGGUAUGAUCUCACAGGAAGUCAAUGACUUAGCCAAAGAUUUUUGCACUGAAAUUCAUAACAAAUCGAAUAUUAUGAAAAACAGGUAAAGCAUGAAGUACUUUAUGAAGUAACAGUAACAUUACGGAGUUAAAACAGAAGGUAGAGUCUUUUAACGACAAUGAUGAUCAAGUAGAGCAACAAAUAAGGAAAAAUCACAGACACGAACAAAAACACUGAAGCCACACAAAAUCAUAUGGUUUUGCCAGUAAAAAAGGUAACCAGCAUCAUUAAGAAAAUAAACAGAGACUAUGAUGAUGUACCUCUAACUGUAGAAGAGCUUAAUUUAAGGAUAGCAACAUUAGAAGUUGACUCAGCAUGUGCUGAGGAGAGAGAGAGAGAGAGAGAGAGAGAGAGAGAGAGAGAGACAGAGAGAGAGAGAGA
Long non-coding RNA from Schistocerca cancellata (South American locust), 2181 nucleotides. RefSeq lists it as uncharacterized. The transcript has 2 exons. NCBI's taxonomy places the organism in Eukaryota, Metazoa, Arthropoda, Insecta, Orthoptera, Acrididae. The record is from RefSeq and is a predicted model, not a curated record.